Long non-coding RNA from Vicia villosa (hairy vetch), 1474 nucleotides. RefSeq lists it as uncharacterized. The transcript has 4 exons. The record is from RefSeq and is a predicted model, not a curated record. NCBI's taxonomy places the organism in Eukaryota, Viridiplantae, Streptophyta, Magnoliopsida, Fabales, Fabaceae.
CCGAUUGUUCCAGCUUGAAUAUUCUAAAUAACUCUAACUUAUGUACUUAUAUCCAAGAAUCCUAUCCGUACAAUUGGUGAUGCUCUGAAGAAGGUGAAUUCCAUCACAAAGGUAAAGAAUGUCUCAAUCUGUUAUGCACUUUUAGGGUUCAUUAGUUAUUUCAGUAUUGUGUUUUGAUUUCUCAAAAUACCUUGCCUGGUUCCAGCUUUCCCUUUCUCAUUGUCAGCUUCAGGGUAUUGACACUUCCCUUAAGUAUGAUUUGCAGAGAGUAAGAGUAAAAGAGUUCUGAUUUUCAGUUGAUAGUUCAGAUAGGACCUAUUACAAAGAUUUGGUAAAUUUUAUUGAAGCCUCUAAUGUUAAAAAAAACACUCUUUAUGAUAGAAUAACAAUCUUUUCUGUUAAAUUGUUUACAACCAUGUCUCUUUUCCCCUCUUUAUUGUCAUCAGUUCUUAUCACUAGGUCAUCAAAAGUGGUAGUCAAGUUCUUAUCACAAGGCAUGAUCAAGUUCAGUUCAUUGUUUAUCAGUUCUGUUCAUAUCAACCAGCACAUAAUUAGUUCAUUGUUUUUUGUUUGAAUAAUACUCUAAUCGAUUAUUGUUUGAUUAGAGAACUGCAGACACGAAAUUGGCUAUUACAGAUGCAAUUAAUGUUGAAAUGGAGGUUGCUUACACAUCAAACGUCUAGCCAGAGUAUCUGAAUCUUUCUUAACAAGAACUAUUGCAUCGUACAAAUAAAACCAACUCAUUGACAUAUUAAACAAAGUCAUGGUUUUAGCCUAUUAUGAAGACGAAGGUUGCUGAAGAGGCUAUGGAAGAAAAGCAGAAGGUAACAAUGUUUUUUCAACAAAGAGGGAUUUUAAGUGACCCUUUCCUGUUUGCUUUUCUAGAAUAAUCUAUUGUUUGCAGGUAAAACCUUCGUUUGAACUAUCAGAAAAAACUUGCGGCUGAAUUCAAUGGAGUCAGAGGCAUUACUUUAUUGUUCAAUGAACCACCAGAGGCUCGAAAGCCUGAUAUUAAAUGGAGGCUCUAUAUUUUCAAGACUGGUGAAAUGUUGAAUGGUAAACUUUUAUUCCCUCUACUUAAAUCUUACAAAUUCAGUAAAGCAAACAAGGUAAUACCAGUUUUUUUCUGGGUUACUCAACAUAUACUAUCGAAGUAUUCAGCAUAUAUAAACCUAACAUCUAUGUGAUCUGCAACAGGCCUGACAUAAUGGACCUUGGAAGCAUAAACAAAACUUUCGUUAAUGUACUACUAAGAAGUAAAGAUGCUCUAUGUAUACCUGCUUCCAAAGUUAUAAUUUAUUGGCGUUAAACUUAAGUUGUCAUUGGGUUAUAUGUAAAUCUCCAGGCAAUGUAUUAAUUUGUAGCUAUAUUGCCACUGUUGUAAUAAAAUUUUUAAACAAAUGAACUUAUCAUUUCAUGUGAUUAACAUAUUUAUUGAAAUGUUAUAUAAAAGUAUUAUAAGAUUGAAUCUUGA